RNAcentral lists this ribosomal RNA (301 nucleotides) under uncultured bacterium. RNAcentral's name for it is "partial 16S ribosomal RNA". It matches the Rfam family "Bacterial small subunit ribosomal RNA", at positions 509 to 807 of the family's 1533-position model. The record is from RNAcentral.
CAGUAGCCGCGGUAAUACGUAGGGUGCAAGCGUUAAUCGGAAUUACUGGGCGUAAAGCGUGCGCAGGCGGUUAGAUAAGCCAGAUGUGAAAUCCCCGAGCUCAACUUGGGAACUGCGUUUGGAACUGUUUAACUAGAGUGCGUCAGAGGGGGGUGGAAUUCCGCGUGUAGCAGUGAAAUGCGUAGAGAUGCGGAGGAACACCGAUGGCGAGGGCAGCCCCCUGGGAUGACACUGACGCUCAUGCACGAAAGCGUGGGGAGCAAACAGGAUUAGAUACCCGAGUAGUCCCUGUCUCUUAUAC